This 295-nucleotide unclassified non-coding RNA is filed under the name uncultured fungus. Its description in RNAcentral is "sequence contains ITS2". The stretch from base 1 to 52 matches the Rfam family "5.8S ribosomal RNA", at positions 103 to 154 of the family's 154-position model. Lineage: Eukaryota; Fungi. The record is from RNAcentral.
AACGCACCUUGCGCUCCUUGGUAUUCCGAGGAGCAUGCCUGUUUGAGUGUCAUGAAAUUCUCAACCUUUCUAGUCUUGACUAGUUAGGCUUGGAUCAUGGAAGUUGCUGGCUCAAUACGAAUCCAGCUCUUCUUAAAUAUAUUAGCAGAGACUUUUGCUGACCAUCUUUGGUAUGAUAACUAUCUAUAUCAUCGAUAACCAGUUCCCUUUCAUCGGGAGGUCUUGCUUCUAAUAGUCUUUUAGACAACUUGACAACUUUGACCUCAAAUCAGGUAGGACUACCCGCUGAACUUAA